Molecule: non-coding RNA, 243 nt
Organism: Vicugna pacos (alpaca)
Lineage: Eukaryota; Metazoa; Chordata; Mammalia; Artiodactyla; Camelidae
Source: RefSeq, a predicted model, not a curated record
CUUCAAGUUUUUACUCAGAGAUGUUUUUUGUUUUGUUUUUUUUUCUGUGAAAGGGUGUUAAAUUUUGUCCAGUGUCUUUUCUACUGAGAUGAUCAUGUGGGGAUUACACUGAUUGAUUUCCUUUUCUGAACCAUCCUUACAUGCCUGGGAUAAAUCCCACUUGGUCAUAGUUUAUAAUUCUAAUGUACUAUUGGAUUUGGUUUGCUGGUAUUUUAUUAAGGAUUUUUCAGAAAAUGAAAUCAA